AGAGUUUGAUCAUGGCUCAGAUUGAACGCUGGCGGCAUGCUUUACACAUGCAAGUCGGACGGCAGCACAGAGAAGCUUGCUUCUUGGGUGGCGAGUGGCGAACGGGUGAGUAACAUAUCGGAACGUACCGAGCAGUGGGGGAUAACUAAUCGAAAGAUUAGCUAAUACCGCAUAUAUUCUGAGGAAGAAAGCAGGGGACCAUUUGGCCUUGCGCUGUUUGAGCGGCCGAUAUCUGAUUAGCUGGUUGGUGGGGUAAAGGCCUACCAAGGCGACGAUCAGUAGCGGGUCUGAGAGGAUGAUCCGCCACACUGGGACUGAGACACGGCCCAGACUCCUACGGGAGGCAGCAGUGGGGAAUUUUGGACAAUGGGCGCAAGCCUGAUCCAGCCAUGCCGCGUGUCUGAAGAAGGCCUUCGGGUUGUAAAGGACUUUUGUCA
This 437-nucleotide ribosomal RNA is filed under the name uncultured Neisseria sp. RNAcentral's name for it is "bacterial SSU rRNA". It matches the Rfam family "Bacterial small subunit ribosomal RNA", at positions 8 to 441 of the family's 1533-position model. Lineage: Bacteria; Pseudomonadati; Pseudomonadota; Betaproteobacteria; Neisseriales; Neisseriaceae. The record is from RNAcentral.